AUAUGAAUCACCUGGGGAUCAUGGUAAUAUGCAGAUUUUGAUUCAGUGGCCUAAGUUGGGCCUGCAAUUCUGUAUUUCUAAUAACUUCCCAGGUGAGGCCUAU
This 103-nucleotide microRNA precursor is filed under the name Marmota monax (woodchuck). Lineage: Eukaryota; Metazoa; Chordata; Mammalia; Rodentia; Sciuridae. The record is from RNAcentral.